CAGGGAGACAACAAAAUGUUUAAUAUUAUUAUUUUGUCACCUUAGGUCGAUCGGUAUCUCACGUUCUUAAUUCGUUAAGAAUUUCAUUUCCUAAGUUUUUCUAGGUCACACCCAUUAUUUUUCCUGGGCCAUUAGCUCAGGUGGUUAGAGCGCACCCCUGAUAAGGGUGAGGUCCCUGGUUCAAGUCCAGGAUGGCCCAUAUCUCUAUGUUGGGGGUAUAGCUCAGUUGGUAGAGCGCCUGCUUUGCAAGCAGGAUGUCAGCGGUUCGAGUCCGCUUACCUCCACUGAUUACCACCUCUUCCAUAACCGAUAGAAAGGAAAUGUUUUGAGAUGUGAUCAUUAUUCUGAACGAAUCUAGCUUCCUAAUGAAAUCAUUAAGAUGCUGGACUCAUUGAAUUAAUUUUCAUUGUUUUCAGAGAACCUUGACAACUGCAUAGAUUAUUUUUAAAGACAAUAAGCAUCUUUAAUGAUGCAGAUUUAUUAUUUGUGCGAAUGCAUUAAUAACAAUUCUAUUAAGCUGAUGCUUCAAUUUUUGAAGAUAUU
This 543-nucleotide transfer RNA is filed under the name uncultured Prochlorococcus sp. RNAcentral's name for it is "partial 16S-23S ribosomal RNA intergenic spacer". The stretch from base 212 to 284 matches the Rfam family "tRNA". Lineage: Bacteria; Bacillati; Cyanobacteriota; Cyanophyceae; Synechococcales; Prochlorococcaceae. The record is from RNAcentral.